Molecule: ribosomal RNA, 1795 nt
Filed under: Escherichia coli
Lineage: Bacteria; Pseudomonadati; Pseudomonadota; Gammaproteobacteria; Enterobacterales; Enterobacteriaceae
Description: partial 23S ribosomal RNA
Rfam family: Bacterial large subunit ribosomal RNA
Source: RNAcentral
GCACUAGAAGCCGAUGAAGGACGUUACUAACGACGAUAUGCUUUGGGGAGCUGUAAGUAAGCUUUGAUCCAGAGAUUUCCGAAUGGGGAAACCCAGCAUGAGUUAUGUCAUGUUAUCGAUAUGUGAAUACAUAGCAUAUCAGAAGGCACACCCGGAGAACUGAAACAUCUUAGUACCCGGAGGAAGAGAAAGAAAAUUCGAUUCCCUUAGUAGCGGCGAGCGAAACGGGAAGAGCCCAAACCAACAAGCUUGCUUGUUGGGGUUGUAGGACACUCUAUACGGAGUUACAAAGGACGACAUUAGACGAAUCAUCUGGAAAGAUGAAUCAAAGAAGGUAAUAAUCCUGUAGUCGAAAAUGUUGUCUCUCUUGAGUGGAUCCUGAGUACGACGGAGCACGUGAAAUUCCGUCGGAAUCUGGGAGGACCAUCUCCUAAGGCUAAAUACUCUCUAGUGACCGAUAGUGAACCAGUACCGUGAGGGAAAGGUGAAAAGCACCCCGGAAGGGGAGUGAAAUAGAACCUGAAACCGUGUGCUUACAAGUAGUCAGAGCCCGUUAAUGGGUGAUGGCGUGCCUUUUGUAGAAUGAACCGGCGAGUUACGAUUUGAUGCAAGGUUAAGCAGUAAAUGUGGAGCCGUAGCGAAAGCGAGUCUGAAUAGGGCGUUUAGUAUUUGGUCGUAGACCCGAAACCAGGUGAUCUACCCUUGGUCAGGUUGAAGUUCAGGUAACACUGAAUGGAGGACCGAACCGACUUACGUUGAAAAGUGAGCGGAUGAACUGAGGGUAGCGGAGAAAUUCCAAUCGAACCUGGAGAUAGCUGGUUCUCUCCGAAAUAGCUUUAGGGCUAGCCUCAAGUGAUGAUUAUUGGAGGUAGAGCACUGUUUGGACGAGGGGCCCCUCUCGGGUUACCGAAUUCAGACAAACUCCGAAUGCCAAUUAAUUUAACUUGGGAGUCAGAACAUGGGUGAUAAGGUCCGUGUUCGAAAGGGAAACAGCCCAGACCACCAGCUAAGGUCCCAAAAUAUAUGUUAAGUGGAAAAGGAUGUGGCGUUGCCCAGACAACUAGGAUGUUGGCUUAGAAGCAGCCAUCAUUUAAAGAGUGCGUAAUAGCUCACUAGUCGAGUGACACUGCGCCGAAAAUGUACCGGGGCUAAACAUAUUACCGAAGCUGUGGAUUGUCCUUUGGACAAUGGUAGGAGAGCGUUCUAAGGGCGUUGAAGCAUGAUCGUAAGGACAUGUGGAGCGCUUAGAAGUGAGAAUGCCGGUGUGAGUAGCGAAAGACGGGUGAGAAUCCCGUCCACCGAUUGACUAAGGUUUCCAGAGGAAGGCUCGUCCGCUCUGGGUUAGUCGGGUCCUAAGCUGAGGCCGACAGGCGUAGGCGAUGGAUAACAGGUUGAUAUUCCUGUACCACCUAUAAUCGUUUUAAUCGAUGGGGGGACGCAGUAGGAUAGGCGAAGCGUGCGAUUGGAUUGCACGUCUAAGCAGUAAGGCUGAGUAUUAGGCAAAUCCGGUACUCGUUAAGGCUGAGCUGUGAUGGGGAGAAGACAUUGUGUCUUCGAGUCGUUGAUUUCACACUGCCGAGAAAAGCCUCUAGAUAGAAAAUAGGUGCCCGUACCGCAAACCGACACAGGUAGUCAAGAUGAGAAUUCUAAGGUGAGCGAGCGAACUCUCGUUAAGGAACUCGGCAAAAUGACCCCGUAACUUCGGGAGAAGGGGUGCUCUUUAGGGUUAACGCCCAGAAGAGCCGCAGUGAAUAGGCCCAAGCGACUGUUUAUCAAAAACACAGGUCUCUGCUAA